GUUUAAGGAAUUAUCCAACGCGUGCUAAAAUCAGUCGACUCACCUUUGGCAGCCAAAGUCUGAUCGACAAUCCGAGCGUGUCUACAGACUCAAAAUAAUGUGUAGAUGAUGGUUCUAGCAUCUGAUUUUCAAUUUAGCACUCAAUCAUCCUGAAUCAUUUCGGACAGUUCUCAAACGUUGAUUUUCCAAUGGAUCCCAAUCGCUACGUAAUUAGUGUCAUGGGAAAGAUCAUGAUGAGGGAGCCUGAUGGUGUGUUCUGAUCAAUCUAACAUCGUUGAAGAUGGCAGAAAGGUCCAAAAACCAUGCUGCCUUCCUAAUUUUUCCUUCAUUGAAGCUCUCUUUUCCGGCCACCAUUAUCACUGUUGCUGCCCUCAACAGAAAGCCCAACUUAGAUGAGUUGAUUGCCACCUAUUUCAGCUGCCACUGUCGCCAGAAACGCCAUGAACAACGUUGAAAAAGCUGUUGUCCUUCUUCACUAUUGCUGCCAUCAGACGCCACCGAAGCUGCUGUCGCUGGUACUGCACUCUCUGGCGC
RNAcentral lists this long non-coding RNA (534 nucleotides) under Ricinus communis (castor bean). RNAcentral's name for it is "long non-coding RNA (RCOM_LNC002480)". Lineage: Eukaryota; Viridiplantae; Streptophyta; Magnoliopsida; Malpighiales; Euphorbiaceae. The record is from RNAcentral.